AACGAACGCUGGCGGCAUGCCUAACACAUGCAAGUCGAACGAGACCUUCGGGUCUAGGGGCGCACGGGUGCGUAACGCGUGGGAACCUGCCCUUAGGUUCGGAAUAACUCCCCGAAAGGGGUGCUAAUACCGGAUAAUGUCUUCGGACCAAAGAUUUAUUGCCUUUGGAUGGGCCCGAGUUGGAUUAGCUAGUUGGUAGGGUAAAAGCCUACCAAGGCGACGAUCCAUAGCUGGUCUGAGAGGAUGAUCAGCCACACUGGGACUGAGACACGGCCCAGACUCCUACGGGAGGCAGCAGUGGGGAAUAUUGGACAAUGGGCGAAAGCCUGAUCCAGCAAUGCCGCGUGAGUGAUGAAGGCCUUAGGGUUGUAAAGCUCUUUUACCCGGGAUGAUAAUGACAGUACCGGGAGAAUAAGCUCCGGCUAACUCCGUG
RNAcentral lists this ribosomal RNA (433 nucleotides) under uncultured bacterium. Its description in RNAcentral is "partial 16S ribosomal RNA". It matches the Rfam family "Bacterial small subunit ribosomal RNA", at positions 29 to 507 of the family's 1533-position model. The record is from RNAcentral.